This 106-nucleotide non-coding RNA is filed under the name Paramoeba aestuarina. The record is from RNAcentral. Lineage: Eukaryota; Discosea; Flabellinia; Dactylopodida; Paramoebidae.
GUUUUGUUCGUUUGUUCGUUUGUUCGCUAGGAGAAGUUUCGCAAUGGCAGGCAUGGGAUCCUUUAUGAGAACAGCCUUUCAACGUUGUUCUUCUUCUUCUCUUUCU